CCUGACUGACGACUGUAGAGUUUAGUAGUUCGUGUCAUGCGUUUGUACGGUAUUGUGUUGCGUUUUCUGUGUAAUAUGUAAGUGAUUUGAUGGUGGAGACAGGAAAUCACGGAAAGACAUAUUGAGUGUGUGAGCUUGUGUUUCCGCAUUGCGAGCAGGAGGUGACUAGUGUUUAGACAAGCAUAUUAGCGCACAUUACGUACCUGUGCUGUUCGGCAAUUACGAAGAAUACCAGAUCGAGGCGUGGUGGCUUAGGAGGGCAAUCAUGGACUCCAAGGGAACUAGUUGGCUGAAAAAAGAGAAGAAUGAAAUAUAUGCUGAACCAGAAUCCUUGGUCCUCACCGUAUUCCACAACAUUCCCCAUACUGGGUGUAUUGGCUGUUGCAUCAUGUUUGAUCACCUGACAAGUUUCUUGAAGGUCCGCUAAAGAUUGUAAUGCCUAGUCUCCAUAUAAAGCAAGACCUAGAACUGAAACAGGAGGAUGGCAUUGAGCGUGAUGUAAGUUUUCACAUCAGUGAUGUAUUGUGCAUGAAGUACUGUAUGAAUAUCAUGAAAUGCAUUGGGUGCAGUAUAUUUCAGUGAUCAUUAUUGAUGAUACAUUAAAACCUAGGAUAUUAGCACUCCUCCAGAAUGUUUAUAGAAUUCCAAUUGACUGUAGGUAUAUUGUUCUGUUGUGUAAUGGUAUUUGAAUGAAACAUGUUCGAUACAUAAGUUUAUUAACUGUAACCCACGGUAAUUUUAUUGUACAUGUAAAUAAUGAAUGCCUGAAAUUCGUUCUUGGAACAAAUGUACCAAAGAUGAAUUCCUUGCAGCAGCUGUCAAUUUAUUGGUCUCUGUCAGAGUUCUAUAAUAGAAAAGAUGUAAGAGGU
Molecule: RNA transcript, 869 nt
Organism: Schistocerca nitens (vagrant locust)
Lineage: Eukaryota; Metazoa; Arthropoda; Insecta; Orthoptera; Acrididae
Exons: 5
Source: RefSeq, a predicted model, not a curated record